Molecule: ribosomal RNA, 513 nt
Filed under: uncultured bacterium
Lineage: Bacteria
Description: partial 16S ribosomal RNA
Rfam family: Bacterial small subunit ribosomal RNA
Source: RNAcentral
GACGAACGCUGGCGGCGUGCUUAACACAUGCAAGUCGAACGAAAAGAGGGAAAGAGCUUGCUCUUUCCGGAAUUGAGUGGCAAACGGGUGAGUAACACGUAAACAACCUGCCUUCAGGAUGGGGACAACAGACGGAAACGACUGCUAAUACCGAAUAAGUUCCAAGGGCCGCAUGGCCCAUGGAAGAAACGGUGGCCUCUACCUGUAAGCUAUCGCCUGUAGAGGGGUUUGCGUCUGAUUAGCCGGUUGGAGGGGUAACGGGCCACCAACGGGGCGGACAAGUAGCGGGCUGAGGAGGAGGACCGCCAAACUGGGAAUGGGACACGGGUCAGGACUCUUCGGGGAGGAGCAGGGGGGGAACUUUCGAAAAUGGGGGAAACCUGACUGAACAACGCCGCGGGGGGGAUGGCAGGCCUCGGGUUGUAAAACUCUGUGAUCCGGGACAAAAAGGCAGAGUGCGAAGAACAAGCUGCAUUGACGGUACCGGAAAAGCAAGCAACGGCUAACUACGUG